UGCGUAGGCGGAUUGUUAAGUCAGUGGUGAAAGUCUGCGGCUCAACCGUAGAAGUGCCAUUGAUACUGGCAGUCUUGAGUACAGUAGAGGUAGGCGGAAUUUAUGGUGUAGCGGUGAAAUGCAUAGAUACCAUAAAGAACACCUAUAGCGAAGGCAGCUUACUAUACUGUAACUGACGCUGAGGCACGAAAGCGUGGGGAGCGAACAGGAUUAGAUACCCUGGUAGUC
This 228-nucleotide ribosomal RNA is filed under the name uncultured bacterium. RNAcentral's name for it is "partial 16S ribosomal RNA". It matches the Rfam family "Bacterial small subunit ribosomal RNA", at positions 568 to 795 of the family's 1533-position model. The record is from RNAcentral.